CUGGUGCCAGUAAAGGAGUCAAUUCAGACCUUUUCAACGUGGUUCUUGCAGAGGAGUUUAAUCUGACUGUCGACUCCAGCAAGGCACUGGAUGUAAAUCUUUUAAAAAUGUAUAUAUCUAUGCCGCUGAAAUGAGCCUUGCAUAUUGCCAGUUGAACCGAAAUCAUCUGAAUCGAAUUUCAAUUUGGUAUUUGUAAAGCUGGCCUAUCCAGCCAUUCAAAAGGCUAAACUUCUUAAUUAACUUUAUGCAGUGGUGUAAAAUUCAGCUUUGCACAUAAAUUAACUUACAUUAAUUAAUUAAGCUACAUAUCACCCAUUUAUGUUUCCUAGCUUUUCCAGCACUGGAAUGAAAAUGAUGCAAAACUUAAUUAAAGCAGAUGUUCACUGAACAGCUGUUGCCAUCCCACCAGCAGGGGGCAGGACUGCCCCUCAUCAUAUCAAGCAAUGCAGUCUGGUUUUAGGAUCUAAACUGGUCAAAGACCAUGGUAUGGCUGCUUAAGAAAGCUCACCACAGCCUACUCUUUAUGUGGAGGCUGAAGAAAUUUGGCAUGUUGCUGACAGUCCUAGGCAGCUUCUACAGGUGCACAGUGGAGAGCAUAUUAAUCUGCUGCAUAGCUGUGUGCUUUGGCAGCUGCACUGGACAGGACAGACGGGCACUACAGUGGGUGAUCAUGUUAGCUCAGAAAAUCACAGGGUUAGGUCUCCCUUCACUGCAGGACAUCUGUGACAGGAGAAUCUGCAGAUGGGCCAGCAGCAUUGUCAGCAGUCUCACCCACCUCACCCAACAAAUCGUCACUCUCAUGAAACCUGUACAGGAGUGUUAAUACCACAACACCCAGACUCCAGAACAGUCUGUACCCCCAGGCCAACAGAAGGAUCAAGAACUGCCACCCUCUGCCAGCUGUGCCCCCACCCCAGGCACUAUGGCAAUGAUCACCCAGCUUGCAGCACUCUGCACCUUACAUGCAUUUGUUGGAGUUUGUGUUAAGCAAAUAAAUGCCUUUUUCUUAAA
This is a long non-coding RNA of Brienomyrus brachyistius, 1011 nucleotides long. RefSeq lists it as uncharacterized. The transcript has 2 exons. The record is from RefSeq and is a predicted model, not a curated record. Lineage: Eukaryota; Metazoa; Chordata; Actinopteri; Osteoglossiformes; Mormyridae.